RNAcentral lists this ribosomal RNA (253 nucleotides) under uncultured bacterium. RNAcentral describes it as "partial 16S ribosomal RNA". It matches the Rfam family "Bacterial small subunit ribosomal RNA", at positions 524 to 776 of the family's 1533-position model. The record is from RNAcentral.
UACGUAGGGGGCAAGCGUUGUCCGGAAUCAUUGGGCGUAAAGCGCGUGUAGGCGGCCCGGUAGGUCUGAUGUGAAAACUUGGGGCUCAACCCCAAGCCUGCGGUCGAUACGGGCAGGCUCGAGUUCGGUAGGGGAGACUGGAAUUCCUGGUGUAGCGGUGAAAUGCGCAGAUAUCAGGAGGAACACCGAUGGCGAAGGCAGGUCUCUGGGCCGAUACUGACGCUGAGGAGCGAAAGCGUGGGGAGCGAACAGG